UGAAGAACUUGGAGAACUUGCUGGUGGUACUCUCAAGAGACCAUGGCCUUGGAAACUUUGGGAAGCUGCAUUUGGGGUAGAUGGCGGCCUGAGAGAAGAUUGCACUGGUCUCUGCAACAUUUGAGAACUAGAACCACUUGGUCCCAACAUUCCCAAUCCCUGCAUUCCUUGCAUAGGAGGUCUCACCUGAGAAGGAUUUGCAUUAG
RNAcentral lists this unclassified non-coding RNA (206 nucleotides) under Hevea brasiliensis (rubber tree). Lineage: Eukaryota; Viridiplantae; Streptophyta; Magnoliopsida; Malpighiales; Euphorbiaceae. The record is from RNAcentral.